Molecule: transfer RNA, 69 nt
Filed under: Piaya cayana (squirrel cuckoo)
Lineage: Eukaryota; Metazoa; Chordata; Aves; Cuculiformes; Coccyzidae
Description: tRNA-Asp
Rfam family: tRNA
About the family: Transfer RNA (tRNA) molecules are approximately 80 nucleotides in length. Their secondary structure includes four short double-helical elements and three loops (D, anti-codon, and T loops).
Source: RNAcentral
GGGGUAUUAGUAAAACAAUUACAUAACCUUGUCAAGGUUAAAUUACAGGCGAAAAUCCUGUACAUCCCA